This 444-nucleotide ribosomal RNA is filed under the name uncultured bacterium. RNAcentral describes it as "bacterial SSU rRNA". It matches the Rfam family "Bacterial small subunit ribosomal RNA", at positions 335 to 774 of the family's 1533-position model. The record is from RNAcentral.
ACUCCUACGGGAGGCAGCAGUAGGGAAUCUUCCACAAUGGACGAAAGUCUGAUGGAGCAACGCCGCGUGAACGAUGAAGGCCUCGGUCGUAAGUUACUGUUGUAAGGAAGAACAAGUGCCGCAGGCAAUGGCGGCACCUUGACGGUACCUUGCGAGAAAGCCACGGCUAACUACGUGCCAGCAGCCGCGGUAAUACGUAGGUGGCAAGCGUUGUCCGGAAUUAUUGGGCGUAAAGCGCGCGCAGGCGGCCUCUUAAGUCUGAUGUGAAAGCCCCGGCUCAACCGGGGGAGGGCCAUUGGAAACUGGGAGGCUUGAGUAUAGGAGAGAAGAGUGGAAUUCCACGUGUAGCGGUGAAAUGCGUAGAGAUGUGGAGGAACACCAGUGGCGAAGGCGACUCUUUGGCCUAUAACUGACGCUGAGGCGCGAAAGCGUGGGGAGCAAACA